This 66-nucleotide microRNA precursor is filed under the name Marmota monax (woodchuck). It matches the Rfam family "mir-1255 microRNA precursor family". The record is from RNAcentral. Lineage: Eukaryota; Metazoa; Chordata; Mammalia; Rodentia; Sciuridae.
UCUUAAAAAUGAGCAAAGAAAGUGGCUUCUUAAGAUGGAAUCUACUCCUGAUAAAGAUGCUAUGAA